GCCUGGUUGGCUCAGUCGGGUAAGCAUCCAACUUCAACUCAGGUCAUGAUCUCGUAGUUCGUGGGUUCGAGCCCCACAUCGGGCU
Molecule: transfer RNA, 85 nt
Organism: Felis catus (domestic cat)
Lineage: Eukaryota; Metazoa; Chordata; Mammalia; Carnivora; Felidae
Rfam family: tRNA
About the family: Transfer RNA (tRNA) molecules are approximately 80 nucleotides in length. Their secondary structure includes four short double-helical elements and three loops (D, anti-codon, and T loops).
Source: Rfam